This 30-nucleotide non-coding RNA is filed under the name Mus musculus (house mouse). Lineage: Eukaryota; Metazoa; Chordata; Mammalia; Rodentia; Muridae. The record is from RNAcentral.
UAAGAAGGGCUGAUUUCUUGUCUUGUGAGU